RNAcentral lists this ribosomal RNA (696 nucleotides) under Clostridiales bacterium KC2. RNAcentral describes it as "bacterial SSU rRNA". It matches the Rfam family "Bacterial small subunit ribosomal RNA", at positions 91 to 803 of the family's 1533-position model. Lineage: Bacteria; Bacillati; Bacillota; Clostridia; Eubacteriales. The record is from RNAcentral.
CUUAGUGGCGGACGGGUGAGUAACGCGUGAGUAACCUGCCUUUCAGAGGGGGAUAACGUUCUGAAAAGAACGCUAAUACCGCAUAAUAUAUUGGGGUCGCAUGGCCCCGGUAUCAAAGGAGCAAUCCGCUGAAAGAUGGACUCGCGUCCGAUUAGCCAGUUGGCGGGGUAAAGGCCCACCAAAGCGACGAUCGGUAGCCGGGUUGAGAGACUGAACGGCCACAUUGGGACUGAGACACGGCCCAGACUCCUACGGGAGGCAGCAGUGGGGGAUAUUGCACAAUGGAGGAAACUCUGAUGCAGCAAUGCCGCGUGAGGGAAGACGGUCUUCGGAUUGUAAACCUCUGUCCUUGGUGAAGAUAAUGACGGUAGCCAAGGAGGAAGCUCCGGCUAACUACGUGCCAGCAGCCGCGGUAAUACGUAGGGAGCAAGCGUUGUCCGGAUUUACUGGGUGUAAAGGGUGCGUAGGCGGCUUUUUAAGUCGGGCGUGAAAGCUGUGGGCUUAACCCACAAAUUGCGUUCGAAACUGGAAGGCUUGAGUGAAGUAGAGGUAGGCGGAAUUCCCGGUGUAGCGGUGAAAUGCGUAGAGAUCGGGAGGAACACCAGUGGCGAAGGCGGCCUACUGGGCUUUAACUGACGCUGAGGCACGAAAGCAUGGGUAGCAAACAGGAUUAGAUACCCUGGUAGUCCAUGCCGU